Molecule: ribosomal RNA, 305 nt
Filed under: uncultured bacterium
Lineage: Bacteria
Description: bacterial SSU rRNA
Rfam family: Bacterial small subunit ribosomal RNA
Source: RNAcentral
UUUUCCCUACGGGGGGCAGCAGUGGGGAAUAUUGGGCAAUGGACGCAAGUCUGACCCAGCAACGCCGCGUGAAGGAAGAAGGCUUUCGGGUUGUAAACUUCUUUUAAGGGGGAAGAGCAGAAGACGGUACCCCUUGAAUAAGCCACGGCUAACUACGUGCCAGCAGCCGCGGUAAUACGUAGGUGGCAAGCGUUGUCCGGAUUUACUGGGUGUAAAGGGCGUGUAGCCGGGCCGGCAAGUCAGAUGUGAAAUCCCAAGGCUCAACCUUGGAACUGCAUUUGAAACUGUUGGUCUUGAGUAUCGGG